Molecule: ribosomal RNA, 489 nt
Filed under: uncultured bacterium
Lineage: Bacteria
Description: partial 16S ribosomal RNA
Rfam family: Bacterial small subunit ribosomal RNA
Source: RNAcentral
AUUGAACGCUGGCGGCAGGCCUAACACAUGCAAGUCGAACGGUAACAGGAAGAAGCUUGCUUCUUUGCUGACGAGUGGCGGACGGGUGAGUAAUGUCUGGGAAACUGCCUGAUGGAGGGGGAUAACUACUGGAAACGGUAGCUAAUACCGCAUAACGUCGCAAGACCAAAGAGGGGGACCUUCGGGCCUCUUGCCAUCGGAUGUGCCCAGAUGGGAUUAGCUAGUAGGUGGGGUAACGGCUCACCUAGGCGACGAUCCCUAGCUGGUCUGAGAGGAUGACCAGCCACACUGGAACUGAGACACGGUCCAGACUCCUACGGGAGGCAGCAGUGGGGAAUAUUGCACAAUGGGCGCAAGCCUGCUGCAGCCAUGCCGCGUGUAUGAAGAAGGCCUUCGGGUUGUAAAGUACUUUCAGCGGGGAGGAAGGGAGUAAAGUUAAUACCUUUGCUCAUUGACGUUACCCGCAGAAGAAGCACCGGCUAACUCCGU